This 344-nucleotide long non-coding RNA is filed under the name Jatropha curcas. RNAcentral's name for it is "long non-coding RNA (JCUR_LNC000791)". Lineage: Eukaryota; Viridiplantae; Streptophyta; Magnoliopsida; Malpighiales; Euphorbiaceae. The record is from RNAcentral.
CAGCUUCACCAAAACCAAGGUUAUCCCUGAAAAACUCAACACUUUGAUCGUAUGAAGCAAGCAUCCCCAUGUUCAAUGCCAUUGCUCUCACAACAGUAGGGCCUGCACCUUUCCAAAGUGCCAAAACCCCUUCAUCUGCCACAAUUCGGUAAAGGGCAUGGAAGGCAUUUGUGUAAUUUCGACGCUGAGCAGCAGGUAAAGUAGCAUCAGCCUGCAUACGGAUAAGCGCUAAAUCUGCCGGACUGCCAACACAUGCCCCAAUAGCACCAGCAGUCAGCCCACACAAAGCCUUCUGAUAUAGAGGAAGGGGCUUCCCAUCAUUGGCUUCAAUUGCUUUGUUGGUC